UGCAAGUCGCACGAGAAAGGGGAGCAAUCCCUGAAGUAAAGUGGCGUACGGGUGAGUAACACGUGGGUAAUCCACCCUUUAGUGGGGAAUAACCCUGGGAAACCGGGGCUAAUACCGCAUAAGCCUGGGAAGGGAAAGCAGCAAUGCGCUGAAGGAGGAGCCCGCGGCCGAUUAGCUAGUUGGUGAGGUAACGGCCCACCAAGGCGAUGAUCGGUAGCCGGCCUGAGAGGGCACACGGCCACACUGGCACUGAAACACGGGCCAGACUCCUACGGGAGGCAGCAGUGGGGAAUCUUGCACAAUGGAGGAAACUCUGAUGCAGCGACGCCGCGUGAGCGAUGAAGCCCUUCGGGGUGUAAAGCUCUUUCGACGGGAACGAUAAUGACGGUACCCGGAGAAGAAGCUGCGGCUAACUACGUGCCAGCAGCCGCGGUAAUACGUAGGCAGCGAGCGUUGUUCGGAAUUACUGGGCGUAAAGAGUGUGUANGCGGUGCUCUAAGUUCGGUGUGAAAUCUCCUGGCUUUACUGGGAAGGGUGGCGCCGGAAACUGGGGUUGCUCGAGCGUGGGAGAGGAAAAGCGGAAUUCCUGGUUGUAACGGUGAAAUGCGUUAGAUUCAGGAGGAACACCUGUGGUGUAGACAGCUUCUGGACCAUUGCUGGACGCUGAGACACCAAAACGUGGGUUACCAAACA
This 693-nucleotide ribosomal RNA is filed under the name uncultured bacterium. Its description in RNAcentral is "bacterial SSU rRNA". It matches the Rfam family "Bacterial small subunit ribosomal RNA", at positions 56 to 774 of the family's 1533-position model. The record is from RNAcentral.